CAGGAACUCUGAAGAUUUCAUCUCCUAAGUGGAGCCAGAAUCCAGACGCUGGGAAAUGUGAAUGUUCCAAUAUGGCUGACCAUCAUGGAAUGGGAUCAACAGAUGGAAAUAGGAGGCUUCAUCUUCUUCAUCUUGGUCCUGAGGCUCCAUCAGCCAGGUUUCCAGCACACAUUAAACCCAGGGCUAGAGUCUUUAUCAAAAGAAGACAUUUGGACACAGACACAUACACAGAGAGGACACUGUGUGAAGACGAAGACAGAGAUUGGAGUGAUGCAUCUGCCAGCUGGGGAAUACUGAAGUCUGCCAGCAGCCACCAGCAGCCAGGAGAGGGACAGGGUGCAAAUUCUCCUUCACAG
This 356-nucleotide long non-coding RNA is filed under the name Homo sapiens (human). RNAcentral describes it as "non-protein coding lnc-GRHL2-2:1". Lineage: Eukaryota; Metazoa; Chordata; Mammalia; Primates; Hominidae. The record is from RNAcentral.